RNAcentral lists this ribosomal RNA (425 nucleotides) under uncultured bacterium. RNAcentral's name for it is "partial 16S ribosomal RNA". It matches the Rfam family "Bacterial small subunit ribosomal RNA", at positions 354 to 796 of the family's 1533-position model. The record is from RNAcentral.
GUUAGGAAUAUUGGACAAUGGGCGCAAGCCUGAUCCAGUCAUGCCGCGUGAGUGAUGAAGGCCUUCGGGUUGUAAAGCUCUUUAGUCCACGAAUAUAAUGACUGUAGUGGAAGAAUAAGCCCCGGCUAACUUCGUGCCAGCAGCCGCGGUAAUACGAAGGGGGCGAGCGUUAUUCGGAAUCACUGGGCGCAAAGCGUGCGUAGGCUGUUUUGUAAGUCAGAAGUGAAAGCCCAGGGCUUAACCCUGGAAUUGCUUUUGAAACUACAAGACUCGAAUUCGGGAGAGGAUAGCGGAAUUGUCAGUGUAGCAGUGAAAUGCGUAGAUAUUGACAGGAACACCAGUGGCGCAAGCGGCUAUCUGGACCGAUAUUGACGCUGAGGCACGAAAGCGUGGGGAGCAAACAGGAUUAGAUACCCCUGUAGUCC